CGGCCUGUAAUCGAGGCUAGUGCGAGGCUAAGUGCUAGAUAUAAUUCCAGCUAUACGGAGCUGUAAGAGGAGCUAUGGGGAACCCUGGCAUUCCCUAUUAUCCUGAGGGCUAAAGGUUAACCGUGUCGGAACAACAACUUAUAUGGAACAACUUGGGUCCUUCCAGUCCAUUGAACAAGUGAAAUUCAUCUGCAUGUACAUGUAUAUAAUUUAUUUUCAACCAUUUAAUAACAUACCAUAUAAUUAUUUCUAUAGGGUAUAAACUUUCGCGGAAUAGCAGCA
Halichondria panicea is the source of this 282-nucleotide long non-coding RNA. RefSeq lists it as uncharacterized. The transcript is spliced from 3 exons. Lineage: Eukaryota; Metazoa; Porifera; Demospongiae; Suberitida; Halichondriidae. The record is from RefSeq and is a predicted model, not a curated record.